Molecule: transfer RNA, 69 nt
Filed under: Ictidomys tridecemlineatus (thirteen-lined ground squirrel)
Lineage: Eukaryota; Metazoa; Chordata; Mammalia; Rodentia; Sciuridae
Description: Spermophilus tridecemlineatus (thirteen-lined ground squirrel) tRNA
Rfam family: tRNA
About the family: Transfer RNA (tRNA) molecules are approximately 80 nucleotides in length. Their secondary structure includes four short double-helical elements and three loops (D, anti-codon, and T loops).
Source: Rfam by way of RNAcentral
GGGGUUGUGGCUCAGCAGUAGAGCACUGGCCUCGAACGUGGGAGACCCUGGGUUCGAUCCUCAGCACCA